AUGAUUUUUUUUGCACAGGUGUGCUUUAGGGCUGCCGUUGAAGAUGUUCUAAGCGUCGGCAAGCAAAUCAGGCAAUUUUAUCGAGCUAAACAGAGUUCAGAUCAAAGUAGCUGCCGCCGUGCCGGACCUCAGCGUCACCGCCGACGCCUCAAUCCCGCUCCGCCUCGCACCCGACGGCUCAGUCCCACGCCCCCCUCCCCGACGCCUUCUCCCCACCUCCGACACCCCGGCCUCUCACGAGCGUCGCUGCCAUCGCCGUUCCCGUUCUUCCUCGAGGGGACAUCGCGUCUCCACCCCGUCCACAGUUUCGCCCAUUGA
This 318-nucleotide ribosomal RNA is filed under the name Triticum aestivum (bread wheat). RNAcentral describes it as "partial small subunit ribosomal RNA". Lineage: Eukaryota; Viridiplantae; Streptophyta; Magnoliopsida; Poales; Poaceae. The record is from RNAcentral.